GAUGAACGCUGGCGGCGUGCCUCAAACAUGCAAGUCGAGCGGGGCUAUGUAAUAUCGCAAGGUAGAACAUAGCCUAGCGGCGAACGGGUGAGUAACACGUGGGUAACCUGCCUGGAAGACAGGGAUAACGAUUCGAAAGGGUCGCUAAUACCUGAUAAUAUCCUUUCAUCGCAUGGUGAUAGGAAGAAAGGGGAAACCCGCUUUCAGAUGGGCCCGCGUCCCAUCAGCUAGUUGGUAAGGUAAAGGCUUACCAAGGCGACGACGGGUAGCCGGUCUGAGAGGAUGUACGGCCACACUGGGACUGAGAUACGGCCCAGACUCCUACGGGAGGCAGCAGUUGGGAAUCUUAGGCAAUGGACGAAAGUCUGACCUAGCGACGCCGCGUGAGGGAAGAAGGCCCUUGGGUUGUAAACCUCUGUCAUGGGGAAGAAGGAAGUGAGGUACCCCAAGAGGAAGCCCCUGCUAACUACGUG
RNAcentral lists this ribosomal RNA (473 nucleotides) under uncultured bacterium. RNAcentral describes it as "bacterial SSU rRNA". It matches the Rfam family "Bacterial small subunit ribosomal RNA", at positions 28 to 507 of the family's 1533-position model. The record is from RNAcentral.